RNAcentral lists this long non-coding RNA (453 nucleotides) under Sorghum bicolor (sorghum). Its description in RNAcentral is "long non-coding RNA (SBIC_LNC013542)". Lineage: Eukaryota; Viridiplantae; Streptophyta; Magnoliopsida; Poales; Poaceae. The record is from RNAcentral.
GCAAAUUACUUUUUAGCUAUGUUUUUAAUUUCAUAAAUAACUAGCAAAACAUGCCCGUGCGUUGCAACGGGGUAUAGAAUUUAUUAUUUGAUAAUUGUACACUUUUUGUAAAAUUUAAAUGAGUUUAGUCCAACCUUGAAUCAAAUAAAUAUAACCCCACCAAAACAAACAAAACUACCAAACUAAUAUCGGAAAUCACCUUGAGAAGAAUUAGAAAAAAAUCAUGUCCCAUAAAAAAAUCAGAAAUCUUCAUGUACAGUGGAGGAAAAAGAGUAAAAAUGAUAUAAAAAUAUGUAUAGAAAUUAAAAGGGGAAGAAUAUUAGGUAAAGAAAGCAUAAAAGCAUCACAUGAGGGAACAAUUCCAUCAAACAGCACGUCAGAUCAGUCCACUUUUAUUGUCGUUCAGUGCAAUCCAAAGCAAAACUAGCGGCGCAGUUAGUGACAAAAGCCCAC